This 279-nucleotide long non-coding RNA is filed under the name Mus pahari (shrew mouse). Its description in RNAcentral is "lncRNA (MGP_PahariEiJ_G0002634.1)". Lineage: Eukaryota; Metazoa; Chordata; Mammalia; Rodentia; Muridae. The record is from RNAcentral.
UCAACUUGGGGAAGAGUUUACUUGGCUUACAGAUCACAGUCUGUCACUGAGGGAAGCAAGGAAGGACAUCAGGCGGGGCAGGAACCUGGAGGGAGGAAAUAAAUCAAAGGCCAAGGAGAUGUAGACCAUCACCUCCUUAAGACAAAAGAACUCCAAAACCCCCGGACCACUUCCACAGAUGAUGCCGAGACACUUAGCUGCACUGCUCUCCUGAUGCGGGCCCUCGGCUCCCCUCGAGAGUCUAUAUACCUCCUCCCAAUCAAUAAAAUAAACUCAAUG